AUUAUUGUUUCAGAUAGACACAUAGUUUGAUGUUGAUACACAAGUAAUGCCCAUGUGCUGUUUAAUGAUUAUGCUGGACGUAACUUUCAUGUUUUCUUUUGUGUAUUAUUUAUUAUUGUUUCAUAUAGACACAUAGUUUAAUGUUGGUACACAAGUAAUGCCCAUGCUAUGUCGUUUAAUGAUUAUGCUGGACAUA
Long non-coding RNA from Limulus polyphemus (Atlantic horseshoe crab), 196 nucleotides. RefSeq lists it as uncharacterized. The record is from RefSeq and is a predicted model, not a curated record. The transcript is spliced from 4 exons. Lineage: Eukaryota; Metazoa; Arthropoda; Merostomata; Xiphosura; Limulidae.